CGGACGGGUGAGUAAUGUCUGGGAAACUGCCUGAUGGAGGGGGAUAACUACUGGAAACGGUAGCUAAUACCGCAUAACGUCGCAAGACCAAAGAGGGGGACCUUCGGGCCUCUUGCCAUCGGAUGUGCCCAGAUGGGAUUAGCUAGUAGGUGGGGUAAAGGCUCACCUAGGCGACGAUCCCUAGCUGGUCUGAGAGGAUGACCAGCCACACCGGAACUGAGACACAGUCCAG
RNAcentral lists this ribosomal RNA (232 nucleotides) under uncultured bacterium. Its description in RNAcentral is "partial 16S ribosomal RNA". It matches the Rfam family "Bacterial small subunit ribosomal RNA", at positions 99 to 334 of the family's 1533-position model. The record is from RNAcentral.